This is a long non-coding RNA of Eleginops maclovinus (Patagonian blennie), 1793 nucleotides long. RefSeq lists it as uncharacterized. NCBI's taxonomy places the organism in Eukaryota, Metazoa, Chordata, Actinopteri, Perciformes, Eleginopidae. The transcript is spliced from 3 exons. The record is from RefSeq and is a predicted model, not a curated record.
AAAAAAAACGCUGCAAAUAAAAAAGCCACAAUUGAAGUGAAUUACCGGGGACUAUUGCCGAUGCACAUGCGGUUUUUUAUGCAAGAGAAGAAGAAGGCAGGGGGAUCUCCAGGAAUCAUCUCAUGGGCAAUGUAUUGUCUAUAUUGUAGGACUGGUGGGUGUUUUGGGAGGUUUUGCGGCUCCUGUGGCAGCAACAUUGAAUGUUUGGCACCCUUUCUUGAAGAUGUCACAGAAUCUAAUGAAGGAAUCGAGGCAGGCCUCAUCCACAAGUACUUCACGGAGGGACACGCUUAUGAAGGGGUCCUUGAUUUUCUAGAUAAAAGACACAACAUUUGUCUUAGUCUGAGGACCUUAAAGAGGAGGCUACAGAAAGCUGGCCUAACAAGAACGACAGACUACACUCCCAUUGGCACUGUGCACCAAACUGUUGCACAUGAACUGAGAGGCUCGGGUCGGCUGUUGGGUUACAGAGCUAUGUGGCAGACUUUGCAUCAAAAGUAUCACCUGACAGUAAAAAGAGAGGAUGUUAGACAGACGAUUUCCAGACUGGAUCCAUCUGAACUGAGAACUGACUCAAUGGAGUUUUAGUUGCUUAUCUAGCAUGUUUGGGGGGUUAAAUGAUCAAUUUGUAAUCACUUGACUCAUUAUGUUUCAAUGUAUGACUGGUCUUAGGUUUGGUGGAACGGAGUGUGGAUUUCCAGUGUCCUGGGAAGCCCUACACCACUUUGAUGGCAUCAUGCAAGCCCAGUACAGUUUGUGUGGUGAUGAGAAUCUGGAGAUGCAUUUUGUGGACUUGCAAAGACGAAGUGGGUUGGCUCCACCAGUGAACUGGACAGCUGCUGUUCAGAAUUACAUUUCCAUGAAAAACAUGUCUGGACUGUAGAAUACAUUGUCCCCCCAGAGCCUUUUUUUUGUGUAAAUGAUUCCAACGUAGGUUGAAAAUAAUUUAGAAUGCUGCAAUUCUGAGUAGAUAAGUCCAGUGAAAUAUUCAGCUUGUAUCUUUGCGUAAGUCAUAAGAAACCUUUCUUUGUUUAAAUAAACAUACAGCAUAUUCAUGUAUUUUGUAAAACAUGUUUAGUGUUACAUCCGUGUUAUCAGUUGAAUGGUUGAUCGUCAGAAAAUUAUGCACCUAAUAUUUUGGUAAUUGAUUUUAAUGUUGUUUUGAAUAUAAGCAGGUUCCAGCCUCUAAAAUGUGAAUAUUUGCUGGAUUAAUUUGUUCUCUGAGGCUUCACUUUCUGACAUUUUAAAGACCAUGGGCGUCUCCGAAAUCACUCACUCAUUCACUACUCCCUACACACUAUAUAGGGAAUUCUAUAUAGUGUGUAGGGAGUGAUUUUGGACAGAGCCCAUAACAAAUUGAUGAAUCAACAAUAACAUUCAUUCAUUGCAUCAGUCACAUAUGCUACUGUUAUUUCUGUUUUCACAGUGGAUCUGAGAGUAAAAUCUCAUGAACCAGCUACAUCCUUGUCAUCUUUGUAGCGUGUGUAACAUAUACAGUAUGCUGUACGUAGAAAACAAGUACUUACGUUAAAAUGAAACACUCUCAAACCAUUUAAUGAAGAGUCAUUCAGCUUUACUCUUGAAAAAAGUCCAUGUAAAAACAUGUUGAUAAAACUGACUGUGUGUGGCAUCAUUAACUUUUACCACAAGUUAUUUAAUUGUUUAAAGGCACCCAAAGCAGAGGGAAUUCUUAAUGCCAAAGUUCAUGUUGGCUUUGAAGGCACCAUAAGUGUCCAAAAGAGGAAGCUUUAAAAUGUUGGCACAGGUAUUUGCCAUUGGGAAUUUUGACGUUG